AGUCGAACGCAUUCUUCGGAAUGAGUGGCGCACGGCUGAGGAACACGUGACUAACCUACCCCGGUGUGGGGGAUAACGGGUCGAAAGACUCGCUAAUCCCGCAUACGAUUCACGCAAGUGAAGGAAAGCAGUAAUGCGCACUGGGCGGGGGUCGCGUCCCAUUAGGUUGUUGGUGUGGUAAUGGCGCACCAAGCCUGUGAUGGGUCUCUGGUCUGAGAGGACGACCAGACAGAUUGGGACUGAGACACGGCCCAAACUCCUACGGGGGGCAGCAGCAAGGAAUUUUCGGCAAUGGGCGCAAGCCUGACCGAGCAACGCCGCGUGGAGGAUGACGGCUCUUGGGUUGUAAACUCCUUUUGGGGGGGACGAUAAUGACGGUACCCUCCGAAUCAGGCCCGGCUAACUACGUGCCAGCAGCCGCGGUAAUACGUAGGGGCCAAGCGUUGUCCGGAAUUACUGGGCGUAAAGCGUGGGUAGGUGGUCGGUGAUGUGCCGCGUGAAAGCGCCGGAGUAAUGCCGGCGAGGUCGCGGUAGACACAACGACUGGAGGCUCGCAGAGGAACGUGGAAUUCCCGGUGUAGUGGUGAAAUGCGUAGAUAUCGGGAGGAACACCAGUGGCGCAAGCGGCGUUCUGGGCGAGACCUGACACUGAGCCACGACGGCGUGGGGAGCAAACAGGAUUAGAUACCCUGGUAGUCCACGCAGUAAACGAUGCAUACCAGGUGUGGGAUGGCGUUCGCGUCGUUCCGUGCCGCAGCUUACGCGAUGAGUAUGCCGCCUGGGGACUACGAGCGCAAGCUUAAAACUCAAAGGAAUUGAC
Molecule: ribosomal RNA, 820 nt
Filed under: uncultured bacterium
Lineage: Bacteria
Description: bacterial SSU rRNA
Rfam family: Bacterial small subunit ribosomal RNA
Source: RNAcentral